AAUAGAUACCCGGGUAGUCCACGCCGUAAACUAUGGAUGCUAGCUGUUACCAGUAUCGACCCUGGUAGUAGCGAAGCUAACGCGUUAAGCAUCCCGCCUGUGGAGUACGGUCGCAAGACUAAAACAUAAAGGAAUUGACGGGGACCCGCACAAGCGGUGGAGCGUGUUGUUUAAUUCGAUGGUAAGCGAAGAACCUUACCCAGGCUUGACAUCCUUGGAAGGCUUCCGAAAGGAAACUGUGCCCUCGGGAACCAAGUGACAGGUGAUGCAUGGCCGUCGUCAGCUCGUGUCGUGAGAUGUUUGGUUAAGUCCAUCAACGAGCGCAACCCUUUUAGUUAGUUGUAUUUCUCUAGCUAGACUGCCCUGGUAACAGGGAGGAAGGAGGGGAUGAUGUCAGGUCAGUAUUUCCCUUACGUCUGGGGCUACAAACACGCUACAAUGGCCGGUACAAAGGGCAGCCAAGUCGCGAGACGGAGCAAAUCCCACCAAAGCCGGUCUCAGUUCGGAUAGCAGGCUGAAACUCGCCUGCUUGAAGCUGGAAUCGCU
This 546-nucleotide ribosomal RNA is filed under the name uncultured bacterium. RNAcentral describes it as "bacterial SSU rRNA". It matches the Rfam family "Bacterial small subunit ribosomal RNA", at positions 777 to 1336 of the family's 1533-position model. The record is from RNAcentral.